AAUACCACCUAAAAUGAUUAUAGAACAAAUUUAGUCAUGACUAUUAUUUAUCAGCAUCAACAAAUAAAUAAAAUUCUAAUAAUUUAAGCAUGUAAAAUAAUAUAAAGGUAGCUACAAGCAAAGGACAAGAACUCCCUUUAUCACUUGAAGGUUUUCAAAAAAAAUCCAUAACAGAGAAACAACAAAUAGUCUCGAAAGUGAUUGUAUCAUGAAUGGAUGUUCUAGGGUAGGCAAAAUCAGUUUGUCUCCAACAAA
This 255-nucleotide long non-coding RNA is filed under the name Nicotiana benthamiana. RNAcentral's name for it is "long non-coding RNA (NBEN_LNC018387)". The record is from RNAcentral. Lineage: Eukaryota; Viridiplantae; Streptophyta; Magnoliopsida; Solanales; Solanaceae.